UACGGGGGGGGCAAGCGUUGUUCGGAAUUACUGGGCGUAAAGGGCUCGUAGGCGGCCAACUAAGUCAUACGUGAAAUCCCUCGGCUUAACCGGGGAACUGCGUCUGAUACUGGAUGGCUUGAGUUCGGGAGAGGGAUGCGGAAUUCCAGGUGUAGCGGUGGAAUGCGCAGAUAUCAGGAGGAACACCAAUAGCGAAGGCAGCUCGCUGGGACGGUACUGACGCUAAGGCGCGAAAGCGUGGGGAGCGAACAGG
RNAcentral lists this ribosomal RNA (253 nucleotides) under uncultured bacterium. RNAcentral describes it as "partial 16S ribosomal RNA". It matches the Rfam family "Bacterial small subunit ribosomal RNA", at positions 524 to 776 of the family's 1533-position model. The record is from RNAcentral.